RNAcentral lists this ribosomal RNA (788 nucleotides) under uncultured bacterium. Its description in RNAcentral is "bacterial SSU rRNA". It matches the Rfam family "Bacterial small subunit ribosomal RNA", at positions 8 to 796 of the family's 1533-position model. The record is from RNAcentral.
AGAGUUUGAUCCUGGCUCAGAAUGAACGCUGGCGGCGUGCUUAACACAUGCAAGUCGAACGAGAAAGUUCUUCGGAACUAGUAAAGUGGCAAACGGGUGAGUAACGCGUGAGAAUUUACCUUUUAGUGAAGGAUACUCCCGAGAAAUCGGGGUUAAUACUGCAUAAGCCUCGAAAGAGGGAAAGGCGGCCUCUUUGCUGUCGCUAAAAGAUAAGCUUGCGUCCUAUUAGCUAGUUGGUGUGGUAAAGGCGCACCAAGGCAAUGAUGGGUAACCGGCCUGAGAGGGUGUACGGUCACACUGGAACUGAGACACGGUCCAGACUCCUACGGGAGGCAGCAGUGGGGAAUAUUGCACAAUGGGCGAAAGCCUGAUGCAGCGACGCCGCGUGGAGGAAGAAGGUCUUCGGAUUGUAAACUCCUGUUAAAUGGGAAGAAAGACUUCUGGUCAAUACCCAGAGGGGAUGACGGUACCAUUAGAGAAAGCCCCGGCUAACUUCGUGCCAGCAGCCGCGGUAAUACGAAGGGAGCAAGUGUUAUUCGGAAUAACUGGGCGUAAAGGGUGCGUAGGCGGUUUAUUAAGUUGGUUGUUAAAUUUCACUGCUUAACGGUGAGCAAGCAAUCAAUACUGAUGAGCUAGAGGGUGGAAGAGAGGAGUGGAAUUCUUGGAGUAGCGGUAAAAUGCGUAGAUCUCAAGAGGAACACCAAUUGCGAAGGCAGCUCCUUGGUCCAUACCUGACGCUGAAGUACGAAAGCGUGGGGAGCAAACAGGAUUAGAUACCCUGGUAGUCC